RNAcentral lists this long non-coding RNA (1176 nucleotides) under Daphnia pulicaria. RNAcentral describes it as "uncharacterized LOC124341475, transcript variant X5". The record is from RNAcentral. Lineage: Eukaryota; Metazoa; Arthropoda; Branchiopoda; Diplostraca; Daphniidae.
GGUAAAGUUUGAGGGUUAGGUUAGUCACACGCUUUAUUAUUGUGACACUUUGUUAGGAGCAAGUGUGUUGUGUCUUUUUGUUCUGGGCGUUCGUGUGGGCAGUCUUCUCUUUCCGGUUUCUGUCUGCUGAUGGAGUAAUAAGUUUGUUGUGGCCGUUUAAAGUAGGCGAAACGGGGCAUUAGGAUACUCCUCAUGUGACUUGGGUGCUGCUGAAAUAAAAAAUGAAGUGGCCAGUACCAACACGACAGUUUUGUAUAUGGCGCACGGCGAAUAAGUUUUAGCCAUUGACAGCAGACAGCAUGUUACACGUCAUUUUGUUCUGGACAGAAGUAAGUGAUGUUUUCCUUCCAGAAAUCAUCGGUCGGCUUUAUUUAACGCGAAGCUGUUAAAGCAAACUCCAGACAAUAUAGAGUUCAAUCAAAACUCGUAUUAAGGAGGAAGGAGAGAAAACAAAACUUUAGAGUGACAAGAUGGAAAACGAAAUAAUGUUGGAUGGGUCGAGAAUCUGGAGAUAUCACUUCUGAACUUAACACUGAACAACCUGAAAUUCACUAAAUUUUUUGCUCAUUAGCCAACAAGGCAACAUCUGAUGAUUCUGAUGAUGCCAAUGCCAUGAUGGAAGAGAACACUUGGUGAAAGAUCAUAAUUUGGUUCAUGUUUACAUGGUGGGGUGGUGUUGCUGUCCAAUGUGGCGUGUUGUUGCAGCCUAUGGUGGUGAAAGAUAUCUGCAUCAAGUUGCUGUUUCUUGUGCAUCCAAGGUGCUGGUUUUGUGCUACAGGAGUUACAUCCAGUAUUGUGUUUUAUUGCUAAUUGUUUCUUUGCAGUUUACCUUUUAUACGUUGAGAAGGAACAAAAAAAAGUAAUACGGGGAGGUUUAUGUCAAACAAAUAAUAAACAUGUCCGCGAUUGGGGAAUGAGGAGGAAGUUGGGGUGGGAUAUUUGAUUAUCAUUUACUAAAAGAAGUUCGGUAUAUUUUAUUAUUUUUUAAAUGAAUAUGCAGGUGAUAAAAUCUGUUGUUAACCCAUAUAACCUUCUCCACUUACACAUCCAUUCCUCAAACCCCGACAUAAAGUCCCACAUCCAUUCCUCAAACCCCAUAAUCUCCAACAUCCAAUUGUCACAAUUGUUGUAUACGUAUAAUCGUAUUCAUGUAUAAAUAAAUAAAAUGUCAUUGUA